RNAcentral lists this long non-coding RNA (1233 nucleotides) under Piliocolobus tephrosceles (Ugandan red Colobus). Its description in RNAcentral is "lncRNA (ENSPTEG00000023115.1)". Lineage: Eukaryota; Metazoa; Chordata; Mammalia; Primates; Cercopithecidae. The record is from RNAcentral.
CGCAUGAAAUUAUUCAAGGCCUUAUUGCCUCUCCUUAGAGUCAGUGAUGGUGAUAGGAGCUCCUUAUUGAUGCAGGGUCUUGAGAGAGAGCACCCGGAUGGGCUUCCUGUUCUCAGCUGGGACAGGUGGGUAAACCUUUGGAGGGUCAAAUUCCCGGUCGUGGUUAUUAGCGAAGAGCAUCUGGAGCCGGGAGGGCCAGUCGUCUUGCCGCCGCAGCAGCGCGUAGGUGCCCUUGUCCCCGCACAUCAUGUAGCAAUUCCAGGGGUCUUCCUUAAUGGCCCCCUGGGCAGCUCCAGGCCCCACCAAGAGGUCCACACACUCCACGCAAAAGCACCUGCAGCAGUUGCUGUUUCCACACAUGAGCAACUCGCGGCCCCCGCAGCGGAUGGUGCAGAAGGACCGGUAGCCGUCGUCGUACUGGUAUGCACACUCCAGAAAGGAGUUCUCGCAGUUUUGGUACACUCCUCCAAUGCAGAGGGGGUGUUCCAGGGUGACGUUGAGGCUCCCACAGGAGAUGCAAAUGUCCUCCAUGUUCCGGCACUUCUGCCGCACCGCAUACACCAGCCGCUCUCUUGUGCGCUCAUCGAUAAUCUCCUUGACCUUGGGCUUUUCCGUCGUGCUCUUCCGGGGCUUUUUGGCUGGUGGAGGUGGUGCCUAGGCGGCUGCCUCAGAUUCCACCCACAUGUCCGUGUACACUUCUUUGUAGGGAUUCUUCUCCUCUUCUGGUGGCUCCAGGCCCUCGGGGCCAGAGGGCUGGAAGUCUCCCAGGGCCCACUCAAUCAUCUGCUUGUUCUGCACCUCCACGGCCUUGGCAGUGUCACUCUCGUCGCUGUCGUGGCAAACCGGGAAGAGUUUCCCCGCACGGCUGCUGGCCACCUGCAGGGCCUCGUAGAUGGCUUUGCGGUACAUGGGUUCCUUGUUUCACGUGGCCUGGUGGAAAGCACUGCAAAACGAGCUCAGCGGCAUCAGCUCCUCACCACACACCACUGAGAAUUUGCCGUCUCUGAACCACAUGACCCAGCGGGUGCCUUCAGCUGCUCGGCUCCGGCCCGUCAUCCACCAAGACACAAUGCGACCUGGCCACCAGGAGAAGCCCCGCAGUUUCCCCUGCACCAGCUCCCCGGUGCCAAAGCCCUGGCCGUCCUCAUACUCCGGCUCAUGAUCGCCUGCUUUGGUGUUUUUGUCCCCAGCGUUGACGCCCAAGGGCUCAGGCGUGGUAGCCACAGUGGGGCA